GACGAACGCUGGCGGCGUGCUUAACACAUGCAAGUCGAGCGGAAAGGCCACUUCGGUGGUACUCGAGCGGCGAACGGGUGAGUAACGCGUGAGUAAUCUGCCCUUCACUCUGGGAUAGCCACCGGAGACGGUGAGUAAUACCGGAUACGACCACUCCACGCCGGUGGGUGUGGUGGAAACUGUUCGGGUGGGGGAUGUGCUCGCGGCCUAUCAGCUUGUUGGUGGGGUAAUGGCCUACCAAGGCUUCGACGGGUAGCCGGCCUGAGAGGGUGACCGGCCACACUGGGACUGAGACACGGCCCAGACUCCUACGGGAGGCAGCAGUGGGGAAUAUUGGACAAUGGGCGGAAGCCUGAUCCAGCAACGCCGCGUGAGGGAUGACGGCCUUCGGGUUGUAAACCUCUUUCAGCACCGACGAAGCGCAAGUGACGGUAGGUGCAGAAGAAGGACCGGCCAACUACGUGCCAGCAGCCGCAGUAA
RNAcentral lists this ribosomal RNA (480 nucleotides) under uncultured bacterium. RNAcentral's name for it is "partial 16S ribosomal RNA". It matches the Rfam family "Bacterial small subunit ribosomal RNA", at positions 28 to 523 of the family's 1533-position model. The record is from RNAcentral.